GGCGCGGCCUAUACAUGCAAGUCGAACGAACUCUGGUAUUGAUUGGUGCUUGCAUCAUGAUUUACAUUUGAGUGAGUGGCGAACUGGUGAGUAACACGUGGGAAACCUGCCCAGAAGCGGGGGAUAACACCUGGAAACAGAUGCUAAUACCGCAUAACAACUUGGACCGCAUGGUCCGAGUUUGAAAGAUGGCUUCGGCUAUCACUUUUGGAUGGUCCCGCGGCGUAUUAGCUAGAUGGUGGGGUAACGGCUCACCAUGGCAAUGAUACGUAGCCGACCUGAGAGGGUAAUCGGCCACAUUGGGACUGAGACACGGCCCAAACUCCUACGGGAGGCAGCAGUAGGGAAUCUUCCACAAUGGACGAAAGUCUGAUGGAGCAACGCCGCGUGAGUGAAGAAGGGUUUCGGCUCGUAAAACUCUGUUGUUAAAGAAGAACAUAUCUGAGAGUAACUGUUCAGGUAUUGACGGUAUUUAACCAGAAAGCCACGGCUAACUACGUGCCAGCAGCCGCGGUAAUACGUAGGUGGCAAGCGUUGUCCGGAUUUAUUGGGCGUAAAGCGAGCGCAGGCGGUUUUUUAAGUCUGAUGUGAAAGCCUUCGGCUCAACCGAAGAAGUGCAUCGGAAACUGGGAAACUUGAGUGCAGAAGAGGACAGUGGAACUCCAUGUGUAGCGGUGAAAUGCGUAGAUAUAUGGAAGAACACCAGUGGCGAAGGCGGCUGUCUGGUCUGUAACUGACGCUGAGGCUCGAAAGUAUGGGUAGCAAACAGGAUUAGAUACCCUGGUAGUCCAUACCGUAAACGAUGAAUGCUAAGUGUUGGAGGGUUUCCGCCCUUCAGUGCUGCAGCUAACGCAUUAAGCAUUCCGCCUGGGGAGUACGGCCGCAAGGCUGAAACUCAAAGGAAUUGACGGGGGCCCGCACAAGCGGUGGAGCAUGUGGUUUAAUUCGAAGCUACGCGAAGAACCUUACCAGGUCUUGACAUACUAUGCAAAUCUAAGAGAUUAGACGUUCCCUUCGGGGACAUGGAUACAGGUGGUGCAUGGUUGUCGUCAGCUCGUGUCGUGAGAUGUUGGGUUAAGUCCCGCAACGAGCGCAACCCUUAUUAUCAGUUGCCAGCAUUAAGUUGGGCACUCUGGUGAGACUGCCGGUGACAAACCGGAGGAAGGUGGGGAUGACGUCAAAUCAUCAUGCCCCUUAUGACCUGGGCUACACACGUGCUACAAUGGAUGGUACAACGAGUUGCGAACUCGCGAGAGUAAGCUAAUCUCUUAAAGCCAUUCUCAGUUCGGAUUGUAGGCUGCAACUCGCCUACAUGAAGUCGGAAUCGCUAGUAAUCGCGGAUUCAGCAGCCG
This 1352-nucleotide ribosomal RNA is filed under the name Lactiplantibacillus plantarum. RNAcentral's name for it is "bacterial SSU rRNA". It matches the Rfam family "Bacterial small subunit ribosomal RNA", at positions 41 to 1359 of the family's 1533-position model. Lineage: Bacteria; Bacillati; Bacillota; Bacilli; Lactobacillales; Lactobacillaceae. The record is from RNAcentral.